AGAGUUUGAUCAUGGCUCAGAUUGAACGCUGGCGGCAGGCCUAACACAUGCAAGUCGAACGGUAACAGGAAGCAGCUUUGCUGCUUUGCUGACGAGUGGCGGACGGGUGGAGUAAUGUCUGGGAAACUGCCUGAUGGAGGGGGAUAACUACUGGAAACGGUGGCUAAUACCGCAUAACGUCGCAAGACCAAAGAGGGGGACCUUCGGGCCUCUUGCCAUCAGAUGUGCCCAGAUGGGAUUAGCUUGUUGGUGAGGUAACGGCUCACCAAGGCGACGAUCCCUAGCUGGUCUGAGAGGAUGACCAGCCACACUGGAACUGAGACACGGUCCAGACUCCUACGGGAGGCAGCAGUGGGGAAUAUUGCACAAUGGGCGCAAGCCUGAUGCAGCCAUGCCGCGUGUAUGAAGAAGGCCUUCGGGUUGUAAAGUACUUUCAGCGGGGAGGAAGGUGUUGGCGGUUAAUAACCGCAGCAAUUGACGUUACCGCAGAAGAAGCACCGGCUAACUCCGUGCCAGCAGCCGCGGUAAUACGGAGGGUGCAAGCGUUAAUCGGAAUUACUGGGCGUAAAGCGCACGCAGGCGGUCUGUCAAGUCGGAUGUGAAAUCCCCGGGCUCAACCUGGGAACUGCAUUCGAAACUGGCAGGCUUGAGUCUUGUAGAGGGGGGUAGAAUUCCAGGUGUAGCGGUGAAAUGCGUAGAGAUCUGGAGGAAUACCGGUGGCGAAGGCGGCCCCCCUGGACAAAGACUGACGCUCAGGUGCGAAAGCGUGGGGAGCAAACAGGAUUAGAUACCCUGGUAGUGCCACGCGUAAACGAUGUCUACUUGGAGGUUGUGCCCUUGAGGCGUGGCUUCCGGAGCUAACGCGUUAAGUAGACCGCCUGGGGAGUACGGCCGCAAGGUUAAAACUCAAAUGAAUUGACGGGGGCCCGCACAAGCGGUGGAGCAUGUGGUUUAAUUCGAUGCAACGCGAAGAACCUUACCUGGUCUUGACAUCCACAGAAGAAUCCAGAGAUGGAUUUGUGCCUUCGGGAACUGUGAGACAGGUGCUGCAUGGCUGUCGUCAGCUCGUGUUGUGAAAUGUUGGGUUAAGUCCCGCAACGAGCGCAACCCUUAUCCUUUGUUGCCAGCGAUUAGGUCGGGAACUCAAAGGAGACUGCCAGUGAUAAACUGGAGGAAGGUGGGGAUGACGUCAAGUCAUCAUGGCCCUUUACGACCAGGGCUACACACGUGCUACAAUGGCGCAUACAAAGAGAAGCGACCUCGCGAGAGCAAGCGGACCUCAUAAAGUGCGUCGUAGUCCGGAUUGGAGUCUGCAACUCGACUCCAUGAAGUCGGAAUCGCUAGUAAUCGUGGAUCAGAAUGCCACGGUGAAUACGUUCCCGGGCCUUGUACACACCGCCCGUCACACCAUGGGAGUGGGUUGCAAAAGAAGUAGGUAGCUUAACCUUCGGGAGGGCGCUUACCACUUUGUGAUUCAUGACUGGGGUGAAGUCGUAACAAGGUAACCGUAGGGGAACCUGCGGUUGGAUCACCU
This 1534-nucleotide ribosomal RNA is filed under the name Salmonella enterica subsp. enterica. RNAcentral describes it as "bacterial SSU rRNA". It matches the Rfam family "Bacterial small subunit ribosomal RNA". Lineage: Bacteria; Pseudomonadati; Pseudomonadota; Gammaproteobacteria; Enterobacterales; Enterobacteriaceae. The record is from RNAcentral.